GCGCGUCGUGGACGGCGGCACGUCCAGCGGCCUGUAAAGCCGCCACCUUCGGGUAGACCUGGGUCGGCACCAGGGGCGCGCACCA
This 85-nucleotide transfer RNA is filed under the name Longispora fulva. RNAcentral's name for it is "tRNA-Tyr". Lineage: Bacteria; Bacillati; Actinomycetota; Actinomycetes; Micromonosporales; Micromonosporaceae. The record is from RNAcentral.